AAUCGUUUAUUGUAUAUAUUACCGGCAGAUUAUAUCUAUAAUUACUAAGCAUUUUUAGCAAGCAGAAUAGAGAUUUGUGACACUUUGAGUAUCCUUUACCUUUGGGGAAGAUGUUAUUCACAAAAUGGCUACAAAAAUGGUUUGAAAUCCGUCCAAUGCAUACCUGGAGUGCUCAAUUAGCUACUUCAACAUAAGCGGUUGCCAUUUGGGUUUGCUAAGAUAAUGGACAAGAAUUUACAUGAUCUAAGGAUUUACUCAAGGCCACCCUCAACCCAACCCAACUGUCAAAACAGGAUUAGAGAAGAAGCGUGCAGAAUUUUUAUGGACGAUGUAGUUCUUGGAAGUCUUCAAGGAAAAUAAGAGAUUAACAUCAGAAAGAACAUAAUGGUACUUUAUGACUCAAAGCAUAAUGGUACAGCAGUAUGAUGCUGUAUAUAGUCACGGAAACAGAUAUGAUUUUUCUAGAUUGCAGAGAUGGGCCAUCAUUCUGCCAGGGACGCAUUUCCAGAACUACCACUGCUUGAUAAAAAUAAAACCGAGUCUCGAAGAAUGACUUACUGCAAAAUGACAAAAAAAGACUAUGCUUUUGACGAAAGUGAUCGCUUAUACCAGGAGAGGAUGGAGAAAACAUUGUAAGCAACGUAGCUAAGUUGAAAUAUGGUGACUUAAUCGGACUAUUAGAAGGAAUAUUUAUGUAUGUAAGAAAAACAAAAGAAAGGAAAACAUGAAACAAUGGAAAAAUACUCAACCGAUGUGGCUGCAGUAAAAUUAUUAAUGUAAUUAUCGAAACAAGUCAGAAAGGUGAGUUCACCUGCUUGGAUUAUUGGCGCCAUUAAAGAGCUGGUUUAGAGCUCCACAAUUAAUUAAAAAGAAUAUAUGGAAAAAUAGGCGCAGAACGUGAAUUGCGCGAUUUAAUAACCUAGGCACCUCAAGUGCUUUAAUUUGAGAAUUAUAACAAGAAAAUCAGAUCAAUGGAUAAUCAUGGAAUGGAUCAUGUAAUGGAAGACAGUUUAAUAUCUUUAUUGAGCUAUCAAUAAUCACUGUAAGAAAGAUUGCUAAAAGGUACAAUUUCAAAAUUUGGGAU
This is a non-coding RNA of Onthophagus taurus, 1084 nucleotides long. The record is from RefSeq and is a predicted model, not a curated record. Lineage: Eukaryota; Metazoa; Arthropoda; Insecta; Coleoptera; Scarabaeidae.